RNAcentral lists this long non-coding RNA (1231 nucleotides) under Lepisosteus oculatus (spotted gar). Its description in RNAcentral is "lncRNA (ENSLOCG00000021557.1)". The record is from RNAcentral. Lineage: Eukaryota; Metazoa; Chordata; Actinopteri; Semionotiformes; Lepisosteidae.
AUUAGUUUCUGCCAAUCUUUGCAAUUUGCACAAGGAUAAAAUGGACAGCAUCUGUUAUUGAAUCGAAAUUGAACGAGCCUGGAAAUGGAACAGAAGCCAACUUGUAGAUUUCAGUUCUACUGAUUAUUCAUGCAAGUUUGCUUUUACAUGAACAGGUUGUUGCUGCUACUCUUCCAUCUCGGGGAGCUCCUGGGACACAGGCAGUACUUCCCCCACCUCCAAUUCUGCCUGACCAAAGCAAGCUCCCUGUACAGCUUUUGAGAUUCCAUGUGGGCUCUUUUCAACUUUGUGGGUUCUGGGACUCAGUCAUCUGAAAUCUCCGCACACUGAAAGUUGUUUCUGCUCAUCACUUCUCUGAACCUCUUCUGGUAUUCAUUCAGUAACAGCAAGCCUUCCAUACUGUUCAAUCUCUGAUGGUAAGGUAUUCAGAGACUUUUCUGACUCCUUGAGCAGUACCAAAAGAGUGUAGUGUUGGUGAACUGGCUGACAAGAUCCUGUGCUUUCUUCUGGAACUCCUGUGGCCACUUAUUCUGCACUGUAUCAAUGGGAGACACAUCUGAAGAGCCUCCCUCAACUACUUCUUUCACUAUCUCAGCUAAUCUUCUGCAAAAGCCUACAGUUCAGAGAGGAUAGUUAACUCAAGCUAGGUCUUUUCCAUCUCUUUUUGUGAGGCUGCGGCCACUGCUGUGAGACUGUUCUGGCUCAUUGCCCACCUUUUUCAAUUGAUUUUGAAGUGCAUUUUCUCUCAAUCUGACUGGAGUCAGCUGCAAUGUCUCAGUGGCAGCUACUUUGGACUCUGAAUGAACUCCAGGAACUCACGUUUGUCCUUCUGUUCACAGGUCAAUUCACAGGCACAGCUUUCCUAGCAUAGCACCUAGUCUGGCUCUCCAUCUGUUUAGCAUUCCUGGGGAAGACGACUCCAGAUUUGAAUUUUCUGACUGCAGAAAGUCCUGCAGAUCAUCUUCCAGUUACAUCUGCUAGUGCCACGAACUAGCAACCAUCUGCCUGAAUCUCAGUUCUUUAAUCAUAGCAGCUGCAGCAUGUAGGGGCUUGAGGAGUUGUGAACCCCCUGCUCAUGCAAGCUCCAUGGCUUCUUGAGAUGGGUCUCUGGAACUGACUUUGUCUCUGGGAAUUUGCUUUCAGUUCCCUUCCCCCUUAGGAGCACCGACAAAUUCAAGCUAAUCUCACCUGAGGUCAGGGAACACUGGGUUUGAGUUGUGCUCAUCAUUCA